AGUCAACGAAAGCGAGGAGUACGUGGAGAAGAGGAAGAACUUCUGGUCCACUGUGAAGCCUGCCCAUUUUGGUGUUAAGAUUGGCACAAAGUCUCUUCUUGGCAUCGUGGUGGUCAUCAUAACCGGUUUCUUCAUUGGGCUUCUCGGAAUGUUCGAAUUUGGGAGGUGGCUUCUCUUGAAAUUUCCUGAGAUUUUCUCGCUGGGCAUGUUUAGAAAGACUGGACCGACGGAGGAGCAGG
Molecule: unclassified non-coding RNA, 239 nt
Filed under: Hevea brasiliensis (rubber tree)
Lineage: Eukaryota; Viridiplantae; Streptophyta; Magnoliopsida; Malpighiales; Euphorbiaceae
Source: RNAcentral